CAGCCCCCCCCCCUUUAUCCUGCUCUGCAUGUGGUAAAGCUACUGGCUAAUCAUCCGAUUAUUAUUUUUAAACCCCAAUGUUCUUCCAAAGCAGUGCCUAAAGUUUAACCAAAAAGACAAGACUAAUAUAUAUUAAUAUAUAUGAUUGUUGGGAGAGUAUUUGUAUAUUUAGCGAUGAGAGAGAGAACACACCCCUCCAGCUCAGUAACCCAGGAGCUUGCUUCGGUUCGUACCAUCUGCAGAGUAGCCAAAAGCAGCCACCAUCGAGCCGCUCCCACAGCCCGGCGGAACCUGCUGACAGUUUUGAGCCUAACCAGCUAGUGACUUUUUUAUUAACUCUGCCAGCUUCAUGCCAUGCCACCCCCAGAGGAGGAGAGGAUACUGUCCCCAGCUCCUAGACCUGCUGCCCUCCCCUCUUCCCAUGAAAAGAGACUGUGACCGUGGACUGACCACACCGUCCCUCUGCACACCAGCUCUGGAGCCGUUGCCCGGAUCCUUUCUGCUGCCCUUUGGCAGGGCGGAGGAGGAGGCUGCUGUCUGCUACCUGCCUCCUCCCAAGCACUGCUUAGCCUGCCUCCCAGAACCUCCCCACAGCCGCUGUGGACUCAGCACUCAGACUACAUCUUUUUCCAGUCCCACCAAAGAAGUCCCCCUGCCACUGGGAGAAUUCCUUAGCUGGGUCUCUGAUGUUAGCAAGUCCUGGAUCAGUUCCCAGGGAGCCCCGGACUCAGCAGCUCCUCGGCUGUUCUCCUCCACACAGUGUUGCUGGAUGUCCAUUCCAACUGUCCUCCCCGCAGCCGAGGAGCUCGUACCCCAGUGUUGGGGGGAAGUGGGACAGCACUGAGGAUUCCCCCUCCCUUUGCACUGGUCCAGCGGGCCUGGUCAGAGAUUGUGGGGGGCAGCACCCCUCCAUGCGCCUGUGUCCUUCCCUGCGCAGCACUGGGAGCUGAUCCUCUGUCCCCGGUCCUGAAGGCCGGGGCUCUGGAGAACUGCAGCCCAGCAGAGUGCUGGGGGAGGGUGUCUGCGCAGAGCCUGGGCUAGCGUUGCUGCCUGCUCACGCAAGCAUGUGUGCCUAAUGCAGGAACUGCACGGUGACCACCAGUCUGUCUCGCCCGCUCCCAUUCUCAGCAGCCCCCCAGGGCUGAACGGUGCUCCGCCCUCUGUCUGCAGCAAUAAGAGCCGUGAAGUCACCCUGGGGAUCAGCCCUGGCUUGUGAUGUCAUUGGGGCUCCCCCCUUGGGCUGGCCCUGGCUUCUAGGGCCUUCAGCUCCAGUUCCCCAGACAAGGGCACCUGACUCCUUGCACUUAUAUGGCCUUUCCCCUCCCUCAUCACCAGCAGUGGGCAAAGAACGGCAUGUGCCGUGGUCCAACAGCGACCCCUCACGCGUGCGGAUCCAAACCCAUUUCUCCUCCUCCCCCCCCCCACCGCUCUCAUUGGCUACAUGGAAAUCAAGGCAUGUUAUCCCUCAGCAUUUGUCACUAUAUUAUUCUCAUUAUCCAGUUUUUGCUUUUGCAUGAUGUACUAACGUGGGCAAUUGUGUAACAUAUUCCAGCCUGAGCCGGGGCGCCCGGUCCCAGCUCCCUCCCCUUGGGACGCUGGGCUCCCCUGGCUCCCACUUGUUUCUGUUCAGGGC
Long non-coding RNA from Chelonoidis abingdonii (Abingdon island giant tortoise), 1633 nucleotides. NCBI's taxonomy places the organism in Eukaryota, Metazoa, Chordata, Testudines, Testudinidae. The record is from Ensembl.